GGCCCAGUGGUCUAGGGGUAUGAUUCGCGCUUCGGGUGCGCGAGGUCCCGGGUUCAAUUCCCGGCUGGGCCC
RNAcentral lists this transfer RNA (72 nucleotides) under Dermatophagoides pteronyssinus (European house dust mite). RNAcentral describes it as "tRNA-Pro". It matches the Rfam family "tRNA". From Rfam's summary of the family: Transfer RNA (tRNA) molecules are approximately 80 nucleotides in length. Their secondary structure includes four short double-helical elements and three loops (D, anti-codon, and T loops). The record is from RNAcentral. Lineage: Eukaryota; Metazoa; Arthropoda; Arachnida; Sarcoptiformes; Pyroglyphidae.